Molecule: ribosomal RNA, 491 nt
Filed under: uncultured bacterium
Lineage: Bacteria
Description: partial 16S ribosomal RNA
Rfam family: Bacterial small subunit ribosomal RNA
Source: RNAcentral
AGUGAACGCUGGCGGUAGGCCUAACACAUGCAAGUCGAACGGCAGCACAGUAAGAGCUUGCUCUUACGGGUGGCGAGUGGCGGACGGGUGAGGAAUACAUCGGAAUCUACCUUUUUGUGGGGGAUAACGUAGGGAAACUUACGCUAAUACCGCAUACGACCUACGGGUGAAAGCAGGGGAUCUUCGGACCUUGCGCGAUUGAAUGAGCCGAUGUCGGAUUAGCUAGUUGGCGGGGUAAAGGCCCACCAAGGCGACGAUCCGUAGCUGGUCUGAGAGGAUGAUCAGCCACACUGGAACUGAAACACGGUCCAGCCCCCUACGGGAGGCAGCAGUGGGGAAUUUUGGACAAGGGGCGCAAGCCUGAUCCAGCCAUACCGGGUGGGUGAAGAAGGCCUUCGGGUUGUAAAGCCCUUUUGUUGGGAAAGAAAAGCAGCAGGUUAAUACCCCGCUGUUCGGACGGGACCCAAAGAAUAAGCACCGGCUAACUUCGU